GACGAACGCUGGCGGCGUGCCUAAUACAUGCAAGUUGAGCGCUGAAGGUUGGUACUUGUACCAACUGGAUGAGCAGCGAACGGGUGAGUAACGCGUGGGGAAUCUGCCUUUGAGCGGGGGACAACAUUUGGAAACGAAUGCUAAUACCGCAUAAAAACUUUAAACACAAGUUUUAAGUUUGAAAGAUGCAAUUGCAUCACUCAAAGAUGAUCCCGCGUUGUAUUAGCUAGUUGGUGAGGUAAAGGCUCACCAAGGCGAUGAUACAUAGCCGACCUGAGAGGGUGAUCGGCCAAAUUGGGACUGAGACACGGCCCCAAAUCCUACGGGAGGCAGCAGUAGGGAAUCUUCGGCAAUGGACGAAAGUCUGACCGAGCAACGCCGCGUGAGUGAAGAAGGUUUUCGGAUCGUAAAAAUCUGUUGGUAGAGAAGAACGUUGGUGAGAGUGGAAAGCUCAUCAAGUGACGGUAACUACCCAGAAAGGGACGGCUAACUACGUG
Molecule: ribosomal RNA, 497 nt
Filed under: uncultured bacterium
Lineage: Bacteria
Description: partial 16S ribosomal RNA
Rfam family: Bacterial small subunit ribosomal RNA
Source: RNAcentral